UACGUAGGGAGCAAGCGUUGUCCGGAAUCAUUGGGCGUAAAGCGCGCGUAGGCGGCCCCGUAAGUCCGCUGUGAAAGUCAAAGGCUCAACCUUUGAAAGCCGGUGGAUACUGUGGGGCUAGAGUCCGGAAGAGGCGAGUGGAAUUCCUGGUGUAGCGGUGGAAUGCGCAGAUAUCAGGAGGAACACCAAUAGCGAAGGCAGCUCUCUGGGACGGUACUGACGCUGAGACGCGAAAGCGUGGGGAGCGAACAGG
Molecule: ribosomal RNA, 253 nt
Filed under: uncultured bacterium
Lineage: Bacteria
Description: partial 16S ribosomal RNA
Rfam family: Bacterial small subunit ribosomal RNA
Source: RNAcentral